RNAcentral lists this ribosomal RNA (1655 nucleotides) under Xylariaceae sp. M156. Its description in RNAcentral is "eukaryotic LSU rRNA". The stretch from base 252 to 1655 matches the Rfam family "Eukaryotic large subunit ribosomal RNA", at positions 1 to 1437 of the family's 3401-position model. Lineage: Eukaryota; Fungi; Ascomycota; Sordariomycetes; Xylariales; Xylariaceae. The record is from RNAcentral.
CCGCUAAUGUGAUUGCAGAUUCAGUGAUCAUCGAAUCUUUGAACGCACAUUGCGCCCAUUAGUAUUCUAGUGGGCAUGCCUGUUCGAGCGUCAUUAAGUCCAUUAAGCCUAGUUGCUUAGCGUUGGGAGCAUUACCGCAUGGUAACUCCUUAAAGUCAGUGGCAGGGUUACGGUACACUCUAAGCGUAGUAGAUUUCUUUCUCGCUUUUGCUGUGGCCGCGGCCGUUGCCAUAAACCUAUAUUUAAUUGGUUGACCUCGGAUCAGGUAGGAAUACCCGCUGAACUUAAGCAUAUCAAUAAGCGGAGGAAAAGAAACCAACAGGGAUUGCCUUAGUAACGGCGAGUGAAGCGGCAACAGCUCAAAUUUGAAAUCUGGCCCCAGGCCCGAAUUGUAAUUUGUAGAGGAUGCUUUUGGUGCGGUACCUUCCGAGUUCCCUGGAACGGGACGCCUUAGAGGGUGAGAGCCCCGUACGGUUGGAUGCCUAGCCUCUGUAAAGCUCCUUCGACGAGUCGAGUAGUUUGGGAAUGCUGCUCUAAAUGGGAGGUAAAUUUCUUCUAAAGCUAAAUACCGGCCAGAGACCGAUAGCGCACAAGUAGAGUGAUCGAAAGAUGAAAAGCACUUUGAAAAGAGGGUUAAAUAGUACGUGAAAUUGUUGAAAGGGAAGCGCUUAUGACCAGACUUUUGCCUUGCGGAUCAUCCGGUGUUCUCACCGGUGCACUUCGCUUGGUUAAGGCCAGCGUCGAUUUUAGUAGGAGGAUAAAGGCUGGGGAAACGUAGCUCUUCCGGGAGUGUUAUAGUCCCCUGCGUAAUACCCUUACCGGGAUCGAGGUUCGCGCUCUGCAAGGACGCUGGCAUAAUGGUCAUCAGUGACCCGUCUUGAAACACGGACCAAGGAGUCGAACAUUUGUGCGAGUGUUUGGGUGUUAAACCCUCACGCGUAAUGAAAGUGAACGGAGGUGAGAGCCCUCGGGUGCAUCAUCGACCGAUCCUGAUGUCUUCGGAUGGAUUUGAGUAAGAGCAUAACUGUUCGGACCCGAAAGAUGGUGAACUAUGCGUGGAUAGGGUGAAGCCAGAGGAAACUCUGGUGGAGGCUCGCAGCGGUUCUGACGUGCAAAUCGAUCGUCAAAUCUGCGCAUGGGGGCGAAAGACUAAUCGAACCAUCUAGUAGCUGGUUACCGCCGAAGUUUCCCUCAGGAUAGCAGUGUUGUUUUCAGUUUUAUGAGGUAAAGCGAAUGAUUAGGGACUCGGGGGCGCUUUUUAGCCUUCAUCCAUUCUCAAACUUUAAAUAUGUAAGAAGCCCUUGUUACUUAAUUGAACGUGGGCAUUCGAAUGUAUCAACACUAGUGGGCCAUUUUUGGUAAGCAGAACUGGCGAUGCGGGAUGAACCGAACGCGAGGUUAAGGUGCCAGAGUAGACGCUCAUCAGACACCACAAAAGGUGUUAGUACAUCUUGACAGCAGGACGGUGGCCAUGGAAGUCGGAAUCCGCUAAGGACUGUGUAACAACUCACCUGCCGAAUGUACUAGCCCUGAAAAUGGAUGGCGCUCAAGCGUCUCACCCAUACCUCGCCCUCAGGGUAGAAACGAUGCCCUGAGGAGUAGGCGGCCGUGGAGGUCAGUGACGAAGCCUAGGGCGGAGCCCGUUCGAAGUUUCU